Molecule: long non-coding RNA, 724 nt
Organism: Amphiprion ocellaris (clown anemonefish)
Lineage: Eukaryota; Metazoa; Chordata; Actinopteri; Pomacentridae
Exons: 2
Source: RefSeq, a predicted model, not a curated record
UUCUUUUUUAAUAUGUUGUGUACAGACUUACUUACUUCUCUGUCUACUUUUCUUACUCCAUGUAGGUUUCCCAGAGACUAUGGGUUGAGGAGGAAGUGGAAGUUUGUCGGCUUAGACCUGGUGUCAUUCCAUCAGUGUUAAACUUCCCGGCUCAUCUUGGAAGAGUACGUGCCAGAAAGACCACGACCAAGCAGCCUUGAGAUCUUAGACAGCGUCUCCCUCAGGUCCCUCUCUAUCUCCCCACACAUCCACCAACCACUGGAACACAUCUCCAAAGUUCUGCCGGGCCAGCUCAGCUUCCCCUCAGAAGAAGUGCCGCCACCUGCCAGAUGAAGGAGCCUUUUGAUAGGCAGCUGGCAUCGUGAUUGGACUGUACUUUGGUCUGUUCCAAUCCAGCUUCAGCUCCAGAGACGGCAGGCGGGACGAGUCAACGGAGGCCAGGUGGACGAAGGCAUGCAGUUGAGUACAAUCCAGAAAACAACAGAGGAGGAUUGCAGCGGCUCAGGGCCAGAACAGAGUAGCAUGGUAUGUCUCUUAGAAAACAUCAUAGUAUAGCCUUUGGUAUGAAAAAACGCCAUCAUAUACAUUGUAUAUUGUACAAAUAACAAGUCAAAGGAAAGAGACAUACAUUGUAGAAUUGUAGUAAUUGUGGGCUGACUGAUUUACUGAUUAUCAGUAUUUUAUUUUUUACUGAUUUACGGUAAUAAAUACAUUUAAAAAUGGU